This 253-nucleotide ribosomal RNA is filed under the name uncultured bacterium. RNAcentral's name for it is "partial 16S ribosomal RNA". It matches the Rfam family "Bacterial small subunit ribosomal RNA", at positions 524 to 776 of the family's 1533-position model. The record is from RNAcentral.
UACGUAGGGUGCGAGCGUUAAUCGGAAUUACUGGGCGUAAAGCGUGCGCAGGCGGUUUUGUAAGCCAGAUGUGAAAGCCCCGGGCUUAACCUGGGAAUGGCAUUUGGGACUGCAAGGCUGGAGUGUGGCAGAGGAGACUGGAAUUCCUGGUGUAGCAGUGAAAUGCGUAGAUAUCGGGAGGAAUACCAGUGGCGAAGGCGGCUGCCUGGCCUGUUCUUGACGCUGAGGCGCGAAAGCUGGGGGAGCAAACGGG